GAUAAACGCUGGCGGCGUGUCUAAUGCAUGCAAGUCGAACGGAUAGUUAGCAAUAGCUAUUAGUGGCAAACGGGUGAGUAACACGUGGGGAUCUGCCCAGUAGUGGGGAACAACUCCUCGAAGAGGAGCUAAUACCGCAUACGGUAGCUGUAGAGGUACAGCAUACUAAAGCCUUUCGGGGCGCUAUUGGAGGAACCUGCGGCUGAUUAGCUAGUUGGUGGGAAGGCCUACAGCGAUGAUCAGUAGCUGGUCUGAGAGGAUGGACAGCCACACUGGGACU
RNAcentral lists this ribosomal RNA (280 nucleotides) under uncultured bacterium. RNAcentral describes it as "partial 16S ribosomal RNA". It matches the Rfam family "Bacterial small subunit ribosomal RNA", at positions 28 to 320 of the family's 1533-position model. The record is from RNAcentral.